AGAGUUUGAUCAUGGCUCAGAUUGAACGCUGGCGGCAGGCCUAACACAUGCAAGUCGAACGGUAGCACAGAGAGCUUGCUCUCGGGUGACGAGUGGCGGACGGGUGAGUAAUGUCUGGGAAACUGCCUGAUGGAGGGGGAUAACUACUGGAAACGGUAGCUAAUACCGCAUAACGUCGCAAGACCAAAGAGGGGGACCUUCGGGCCUCUUGCCAUCAGAUGUGCCCAGAUGGGAUUAGCUAGUAGGUGGGGUAACGGCUCACCUAGGCGACGAUCCCUAGCUGGUCUGAGAGGAUGACCAGCCACACUGGAACUGAGACACGGUCCAGACUCCUACGGGAGGCAGCAGUGGGGAAUAUUGCACAAUGGGCGCAAGCCUGAUGCAGCCAUGCCGCGUGUAUGAAGAAGGCCUUCGGGUUGUAAAGUACUUUCAGCGGGGAGGAAGGUGUUGCGGUUAAUAACCGCAGCAAUUGACGUUACCCGCAGAAGAAGCACCGGCUAACUCCGUGCCAGCAGCCGCGGUAAUACGGAGGGUGCAAGCGUUAAUCGGAAUUACUGGGCGUAAAGCGCACGCAGGCGGUCUGUCAAGUCGGAUGUGAAAUCCCCGGGCUCAACCUGGGAACUGCAUUCGAAACUGGCAGGCUAGAGUCUUGUAGAGGGGGGUAGAAUUCCAGGUGUAGCGGUGAAAUGCGUAGAGAUCUGGAGGAAUACCGGUGGCGAAGGCGGCCCCCUGGACAAAGACUGACGCUCAGGUGCGAAAGCGUGGGGAGCAAACAGGAUUAGAUACCCUGGUAGUCCACGCCGUAAACGAUGUCGACUUGGAGGUUGUGCCCUUGAGGCGUGGCUUCCGGAGCUAACGCGUUAAGUCGACCGCCUGGGGAGUACGGCCGCAAGGUUAAAACUCAAAUGAAUUGACGGGGGCCCGCACAAGCGGUGGAGCAUGUGGUUUAAUUCGAUGCAACGCGAAGAACCUUACCUACUCUUGACAUCCAGAGAACUUUCCAGAGAUGGAUUGGUGCCUUCGGGAACUCUGAGACAGGUGCUGCAUGGCUGUCGUCAGCUCGUGUUGUGAAAUGUUGGGUUAAGUCCCGCAACGAGCGCAACCCUUAUCCUUUGUUGCCAGCGGUCCGGCCGGGAACUCAAAGGAGACUGCCAGUGAUAAACUGGAGGAAGGUGGGGAUGACGUCAAGUCAUCAUGGCCCUUACGAGUAGGGCUACACACGUGCUACAAUGGCGCAUACAAAGAGAAGCGAACUCGCGAGAGCAAGCGGACCUCAUAAAGUGCGUCGUAGUCCGGAUUGGAGUCUGCAACUCGACUCCAUGAAGUCGGAAUCGCUAGUAAUCGUAGAUCAGAAUGCUACGGUGAAUACGUUCCCGGGCCUUGUACACACCGCCCGUCACACCAUGGGAGUGGGUUGCAAAAGAAGUAGGUAGCUUAACCUUCGGGAGGGCGCUUACCACUUUGUGAUUCAUGACUGGGGUGAAGUCGUAACAAGGUAACCGUAGGGGAACCUGCGGUUGGAUCACC
RNAcentral lists this ribosomal RNA (1527 nucleotides) under Enterobacter ludwigii. Its description in RNAcentral is "bacterial SSU rRNA". It matches the Rfam family "Bacterial small subunit ribosomal RNA". The record is from RNAcentral. Lineage: Bacteria; Pseudomonadati; Pseudomonadota; Gammaproteobacteria; Enterobacterales; Enterobacteriaceae.